GAUGAACGCUGGCGGCGUGCCUAAUACAUGCAAGUCGAGCGAACAGACGAGGAGCUUGCUCCUCUGACGUUAGCGGCGGACGGGUGAGUAACACGUGGAUAACCUACCUAUAAGACUGGGAUAACUUCGGGAAACCGGAGCUAAUACCGGAUAAUAUAUUGAACCGCAUGGUUCAAUAGUGAAAGACGGUUUUGCUGUCACUUAUAGAUGGAUCCGCGCCGCAUUAGCUAGUUGGUAAGGUAACGGCUUACCAAGGCAACGAUGCGUAGCCGACCUGAGAGGGUGGUCGGCCCCAGUGGAACUGAGACACGGCACAGGCUCCUACGGGCGGCAGAGGCUGGGAAUGUUCCCAGAUGGGGGGAAGCCGGCGGAAGGACCGGAGGGUUGGUGAAGAAGCUCCUCGGGUGGAAAAACUCUUUUAUUGGGGAAAAAAAAAUGUGUAAGUAACUAAGCACGUUGGAACGGAAUCUAAAAAGAAGCCCCCGCUAACCAACU
RNAcentral lists this ribosomal RNA (495 nucleotides) under uncultured bacterium. RNAcentral's name for it is "partial 16S ribosomal RNA". It matches the Rfam family "Bacterial small subunit ribosomal RNA", at positions 28 to 506 of the family's 1533-position model. The record is from RNAcentral.